This 255-nucleotide ribosomal RNA is filed under the name uncultured bacterium. RNAcentral's name for it is "partial 16S ribosomal RNA". It matches the Rfam family "Bacterial small subunit ribosomal RNA", at positions 524 to 776 of the family's 1533-position model. The record is from RNAcentral.
UACAGAGGGUGCGAGCGUUGUUCGGAAUUACUGGGCGUAAAGCGCGCGCAGGCGGCCCUUUAAGUCUACCCGUGAAAUGCCGGAGCUCAACUCCGCGCACGCCGGGGGAUACUGGGGGGCUGGAGACAUGUAGAGGCAAGCGGAAUUCCGGGUGUAGCGGUGGAAUGCGUAGAGAUCCGGAAGAACACCGGUGGCGAAGGCGGCUUCCUGGACCGACACUGACGCUGAGGCGCGAAAGCUAGGGGAGCAAACGGG